UUUUGGCAGAGGUCUCCAAGUAGCUGUACUUCUAAUUAGGGCCAUUAAACAAGGUUAUAGGGUCCUUUAAGUGUCUGAUGAUGAGCUGAACACACUGUCUCUAUUCAUGAAAAAAACACCAGUUAGAUGACGAAGCAAGAAUCAGAGGAAAAAAAACCCGUUUUUAGUAUUUAAUGUACAAGUCCUAUUCUGUUUCUAUUAACAUUUGAGUGCUUCCUGAGGGGUUAGUACAUGAUCACUGAGUUCUCAUAAAAAGCCUAAGCAUGGAUAUUAUUUACUUGGUCCACAAGAGUAAAUGGGCCUUAGAAAGCUUAAGUGACCUUUCCAUUGCUACCCAGUGAGCGUUGAGCCACGUUUGAACCUAGUUCUACUGACUGAACGGGGAAGCACUCUCAAGCGAGCUUUGUCCACGCUGGUGUGUCUUCCGACCAGUGCCUGCAUCGUGUUACUAAUGCCACAUGUUACUGGCCCUUAGGAGAGAAGUACAGAUACUGAUAGGAAGCAUUUAGAAAUUUUGAAAGCAACUUGUUGGAGUCAUUUUGAUUCUAUUGAAUCUAAUUUUUAAAAAAUAGGGCUUGUAUUUUGUGUCAUUUUAUAAUUCAUUUGUCUAGGAAUUCACUUUUUUUUUUUUCAUAUCAUAGACACUAUAUGAUCAUCUGAAAAUAAAAACCCAGCCCUUGACUACAGAUAGCUUGAGAAACUGCACUGGUAUGUGAACGGCAGAGCCUUACUCAAUUACAUACGGAGAACUCGGAUCUUUGCAUUAUCUCUUUCUAGGGGCUACAACUGGCUAAGGCCAAUUUUUACUGGUUUCUUAGGAAAAUUGUUCAGAAUAACAGUACAGAUUUACAGAGUUGCACUGGGAUAACAAGCAAACUUCUAUGCCAAGUAUGUGUUAGCUGUACACCACAGACUUUGGUUCCAUAGCAAAGACGAAUGAGGACAUCUGUACAUGGAACUUGAAUUUUAAAGCAAGAUUCUAAUAGUUAUGUUAAAAAAGCAUUCAAGAUUUUUAAUUGUCCCUAAGAAUACUAAUAAGUGAAGAAAUUCGGUGAAAGUAGCAGACUCAGGUGACUAGCACUAAAAACAUACCAUUAAAAUACUAGUAAGACUUUUUAAAGAAUUUUCUAAACCUGUCAACUGUCCUUAAAAGAUGAAGUAGGGCUUUGCACUAGAGAUGAUUCAAGAAUGUUUUCAAAAUGGGAGUGGGGCCACGCAGGAGUUUGCCAAUUAAUUUCAGACCUUUGAAAUACUGUAUAACUUCAAGUGUGCUUGCUACUUUUCUGUUAAGUUGUAAAUUGAUAAAAUUUCCUGUUUCUUAAGAAAAACCAUUUGUUUAAGUUUGAAUUAUGUAAGGGCUUUACAAUAAAUAUACCCUCACUUAUUAAUUCUGGCUCAGUAUUACGAUAAGUAUACCCACAAACUGGCAUAAAUAUAUUUUUAUAGAGGAAUAUAGUCAAAAGGUGAAAAUAAUUACUGAACUCUAAGUAUUUGAAACCUUCAAUCAAAAUUGGCUCUUUAGAAACCAGAAAAAACAAUAUUAGGAAGUUUAUCCAGUUUUAUGAUCUGCUCUGGUGUCAUUUAAUGAAUUCUCUGGGACUGCAGUUCCUUUAAGGUGAUGAGUUUACUUUUUUAAAGAAACAGUUGGCAUGUUACACAAAGAGCAGUGCUCCAUAACCACACUUUCCCCCCAUUUCACAGCCAAACGGUUGGCCAGUUUCCAGCAUCUUCCUCACAUUUACCUAUUGUCCAAGUAGCUUCCUGCUCCUUAAACUUUCUGCAUUUUUCUCCCCUAUUUAAAACAAGUGAGGAUAUUAAUUAUAUAUUCGUUUACUGGACUGAUUAUUCUAAGGAUAAGCUCUUAAUUCACUUUGAGGAAAAUGGCUUUGUGUCCCUUUAUACAUGUCAUAUAUGGCCUUUUUAAAAGGAAAGUUGGGUGUGAGCAAAUAGGUAAAACUUUUCUGGCUGCUUGGUAGUAUUAAAACAAGCCCCACAGUUUGCAAGUUGGUGCAGCUGCUAUGGAAAAGUGGAAGUUCCUCAAAAAAUUAAAAAUAGACCCCUUACAACCCAGCAAGUCCACUUCUGGGUAUAUAUCCAAAGAAAUGCAAAACACUAAUUUGAAAAGAUAUAUAUAGCCUUAUGUUCAUUGCAUUAUUUACAAUAGGCAAGAUAUUGAAGCAAUGAAAGUGCCCAUCAAUACACAAGUGGAUAAAAAAAAUGGUAUGUUAUGCAAUGGAAUAUUACUCGGCUAUAAAAAAAGAACGAAUUCUUACUAUAUGUGACAUGGAUGGACCUAGAGGAUAUUAUGCGAAGUAAAAUAAGUCAGAGAAAGACAGAUACCAUAUCAUUUCACUUAUAUGUGGAAUUUCAAGAAAAACUAAACAGUAAUAGACUAACAGUUAUAGAGAACAAAUUGAGGGUUGCCAGAUGGGAGUGGGGUUAGAGGACUGGG
Pipistrellus kuhlii (Kuhl's pipistrelle) is the source of this 2452-nucleotide long non-coding RNA. RefSeq lists it as uncharacterized. The transcript is spliced from 2 exons. The record is from RefSeq and is a predicted model, not a curated record. Lineage: Eukaryota; Metazoa; Chordata; Mammalia; Chiroptera; Vespertilionidae.